GUGAAUGUAGCUUUGUCAGUAGAGNGCUUGUCUAGCACGCAAAAGGCCCUGGAUUCGAAUUUCAGCACUCAGG
This 73-nucleotide transfer RNA is filed under the name Neotoma lepida (desert woodrat). It matches the Rfam family "tRNA". Rfam says of the family: Transfer RNA (tRNA) molecules are approximately 80 nucleotides in length. Their secondary structure includes four short double-helical elements and three loops (D, anti-codon, and T loops). Further hydrogen bonds mediate the characteristic L-shaped molecular structure. tRNAs have two regions of fundamental functional importance: the anti-codon, which is responsible for specific mRNA codon recognition, and the 3' end, to which the tRNAs corresponding amino acid is attached (by aminoacyl-tRNA synthetases). tRNAs cope with the degeneracy of the genetic code in two manners: having more than one tRNA (with a specific anti-codon) for a particular amino acid; and 'wobble' base-pairing, i.e. permitting non-standard base-pairing at the 3rd anti-codon position. Lineage: Eukaryota; Metazoa; Chordata; Mammalia; Rodentia; Cricetidae. The record is from Rfam by way of RNAcentral.